RNAcentral lists this ribosomal RNA (253 nucleotides) under uncultured bacterium. RNAcentral's name for it is "partial 16S ribosomal RNA". It matches the Rfam family "Bacterial small subunit ribosomal RNA", at positions 524 to 776 of the family's 1533-position model. The record is from RNAcentral.
UACGGGGGGGGCAAGCGUUGUUCGGAAUUACUGGGCGUAGAGGGCGCGUAGGCGGCGCGGUAAGUCACUUGUGAAAUCUCUGAGCUUAACUCAGAACGGCCAAGUGAUACUGCAGUGCUAGAGUGUGGAAGGGGCAAUCGGAAUUCUUGGUGUAGCGGUGAAAUGCGUAGAUAUCAAGAGGAACACCUGAGGUGAAGACGGGUUGCUGGGCCAACACUGACGCUGAGGCGCGAAAGCCAGGGGAGCAAACGGG